GCUUGCUAAGGCCGAUGGCGACCGGCGCACGGGUGAGUAACACGUAUCCAACCUGCCGUCUACUCUUGGACAGCCUUCUGAAAGGAAGAUUAAUACAAGAUGGCAUCAUGAGUCCACAUGUUCACAUGAUUAAAGGUAUUCCGGUAGACGAUGGGGAUGCGUUCCAUUAGAUAGUAGGCGGGGUAACGGCCCACCUAGUCUUCGAUGGAUAGGGGUUCUGAGAGGAAGGUCCCCCACAUUGGAACUGAGACACGGUCCAAACUCCUACGGGAGGCAGCAGUGAGGAAUAUUGGUCAAUGGGCGAGAGCCUGAACCAGCCAAGUAGCGUGAAGGAUGACUGCCCUAUGGGUUGUAAACUUCUUUUAUAAAGGAAUAAAGUCGGGUAUGGAUACCCGUUUGCAUGUACUUUAUGAAUAAGGAUCGGCUAACUCCGUGCCAGCAGCCGCGGUAAUACGGAGGAUCCGAGCGUUAUCCGGAUUUAUUGGGUUUAAAGGGAGCGUAGAUGGAUGUUUAAGUCAGUUGUGAAAGUUUG
This 532-nucleotide ribosomal RNA is filed under the name uncultured Bacteroidales bacterium. RNAcentral's name for it is "bacterial SSU rRNA". It matches the Rfam family "Bacterial small subunit ribosomal RNA", at positions 75 to 604 of the family's 1533-position model. Lineage: Bacteria; Pseudomonadati; Bacteroidota; Bacteroidia; Bacteroidales. The record is from RNAcentral.